RNAcentral lists this microRNA precursor (117 nucleotides) under Fragaria vesca subsp. vesca. RNAcentral describes it as "Fragaria vesca miR827 stem-loop (fve-MIR827)". Its record names the gene fve-MIR827. Lineage: Eukaryota; Viridiplantae; Streptophyta; Magnoliopsida; Rosales; Rosaceae. The record is from miRBase by way of RNAcentral.
AGUUAUGAUUUGCAGCAGUGGAUAUGUUUGUUUAUGGUCAUCUAGUUAUAUUCCAUCUGCUUCAUUUGGUUAUCAUGAUUAGAUGACCAUCAACAAACACAUUCAUGAAUCGUCAUU